GGCGCCUUGACGGAGUGGUUACGUAGCGGUCUGCAAAACCGCGUACACCGGUUCGAACCCGGUAGGUGCCUCCA
Molecule: transfer RNA, 74 nt
Filed under: Candidatus Saccharimonadota bacterium
Lineage: Bacteria; Candidatus Saccharimonadota
Description: tRNA-Cys
Rfam family: tRNA
About the family: Transfer RNA (tRNA) molecules are approximately 80 nucleotides in length. Their secondary structure includes four short double-helical elements and three loops (D, anti-codon, and T loops). Further hydrogen bonds mediate the characteristic L-shaped molecular structure. tRNAs have two regions of fundamental functional importance: the anti-codon, which is responsible for specific mRNA codon recognition, and the 3' end, to which the tRNAs corresponding amino acid is attached (by aminoacyl-tRNA synthetases). tRNAs cope with the degeneracy of the genetic code in two manners: having more than one tRNA (with a specific anti-codon) for a particular amino acid; and 'wobble' base-pairing, i.e. permitting non-standard base-pairing at the 3rd anti-codon position.
Source: RNAcentral